RNAcentral lists this ribosomal RNA (500 nucleotides) under uncultured bacterium. RNAcentral describes it as "partial 16S ribosomal RNA". It matches the Rfam family "Bacterial small subunit ribosomal RNA", at positions 30 to 523 of the family's 1533-position model. The record is from RNAcentral.
AUUGAACGCUGGCGGCAUGCCUUACACAUGCAAGUCGAACGGCAGCACGGGAGCAAUCCUGGUGGCGAGUGGCGAACGGGUGAGUAAUAUAUCGGAACGUGCCUAGUCGUGGGGGAUAACGCAGCGAAAGCUGUGCUAAUACCGCAUACGAUCUACGGAUGAAAGCGGGGGAUCGCAAGACCUCGCGCGAUUGGAGCGGCCGAUAUCAGAUUAGCUAGUUGGUGAGGUAAAGGCUCACCAAGGCGACGAUCUGUAGCUGGUCUGAGAGGACGACCAGCCACACUGGAACUGAGACACGGUCCAGACUCCUACGGGAGGCAGCAGUGGGGAAUUUUGGACAAUGGGCGAAAGCCUGAUCCAGCAAUGCCGCGUGCAGGAUGAAGGCCUUCGGGUUGUAAACUGCUUUUGUACGGAACGAAACGGUGAGCUCUAAUACAGUUUGCUAAUGACGGUACCGUAAGAAUAAGCACCGGCUAACUACGUGCCAGCCGCCGCAGUAA